GUGGAUUAGAUACCCUGGUAGUCCACGCCCUAAACGAUGUCGACUAGUUGUUGGGGAAGGAGACUUCCUUAGUAACGAAGCUAACGCGUGAAGUCGACCGCCUGGGGAGUACGGUCGCAAGAUUAAAACUCAAAGGAAUUGACGGGGACCCGCACAAGCGGUGGAUGAUGUGGAUUAAUUCGAUGCAACGCGAAAAACCUUACCUACCCUUGACAUGCCAGGAACUUGCCAGAGAUGGCUUGGUGCCCGAAAGGGAGCCUGGACACAGGUGCUGCAUGGUCGUCGUCAACU
RNAcentral lists this ribosomal RNA (291 nucleotides) under uncultured bacterium. Its description in RNAcentral is "partial 16S ribosomal RNA". It matches the Rfam family "Bacterial small subunit ribosomal RNA", at positions 773 to 1060 of the family's 1533-position model. The record is from RNAcentral.